UUAAGCUGUUCUACGUCUCAAUGACAAUUUUUAGCGCACGGCUCUUUGAGAGAGUCAUUUUCCCUAAGCCGAGUAGAGGAGUAGACUCGGCCUUUUUUU
RNAcentral lists this small RNA (99 nucleotides) under Xenorhabdus nematophila. The record is from RNAcentral. Lineage: Bacteria; Pseudomonadati; Pseudomonadota; Gammaproteobacteria; Enterobacterales; Morganellaceae.